CGUAGGCCUUGUCUUCCUUCUACCAAGAUGCGAUCAUCUACUAUCAUUUUGCUUCUCGUCGCCUCUGCUCUGCUCGCCUUUGUGGCUGCUCACGAGGAGAAGCUUCCUCCCCAACCCUUCCGCUAAUUGAACGUCCACUACCAUUUCCCAAUUGGAAACCAACAUACCAACUAAAAAAGAAAACAUCAAGAAAUAAAAUAAACAUCCCCCCAUCACUACCCACUACCACCACUACCCCACCCUUUCAAAGAGCUCUAUUCAUUUAGUUAGAAGAUCCACUAAACCCCAGACAGCUAAACCCUUAGAAAAAAAUCAAGAAAUAAAAUAAAAUAAGUAAAUCUCCACCACCACCUCCCAGUGGAUCCCAAUCUGGACAAUCCGGAGAAACAGGAUCAGGAGGAGCUAGGUCUAUCCAUUUACUUAGAAGAUCCACUAAACCCCAGACAGCUAAACCCUUAGAAAAAAAUCAAGAAAUAAAAUAAAAUAAGUAAAUCUCCACCACCACCUCCCAGUGGAUCCCAAUCUGGACAAUCCAAAGAAACAGGAUCAGGAGGAGCUAGGUCUAUCCAUUUAGUUAGAAGAUUGAAGAAUUAUGAUAAUUAUCAAAAAAUCCUGUAAAUCUCUGUUGUCAUGUCAACUAAUUCUAUUGUUAUGUUUUUUUAUUCUAAUAAAAUAUUUCAUAAUAAAUUGAUUAUAUUUUCAA
This is a long non-coding RNA of Eurytemora carolleeae, 703 nucleotides long. RefSeq lists it as uncharacterized. The transcript has 2 exons. Lineage: Eukaryota; Metazoa; Arthropoda; Copepoda; Calanoida; Temoridae. The record is from RefSeq and is a predicted model, not a curated record.